UGAUGGGAUUUACAAGUUUGUCAGUCUCUUUUUAGGGUUAUACUUUUAAGACUGCUUAUUAUGUUCUGAACUGAAUUCCAAAUUAAUCAGUCGUAAUAACUCCAUAUGAGAUAUAAACUAGGCAUAAGCCGAUACUUUCUUACCUUAGGAUUUGAGAGUGUUUGUUAUAUGUCAAGCAUUUGGAGAUCGAUUAGCUUGGAUCCUGAUCCUAUUUUAUAGGGCACCCCAAAGAAUCUAAGGGAUAUUACUUCUACCUUGCUAAAGAAUAAGAGUUGUUCGGCAUUCUUUUUAGAAAAGGAGUACCUUGGUU
This 310-nucleotide long non-coding RNA is filed under the name Elaeis guineensis (African oil palm). Its description in RNAcentral is "long non-coding RNA (EGUI_LNC061545)". Lineage: Eukaryota; Viridiplantae; Streptophyta; Magnoliopsida; Arecales; Arecaceae. The record is from RNAcentral.